Molecule: ribosomal RNA, 496 nt
Filed under: uncultured bacterium
Lineage: Bacteria
Description: partial 16S ribosomal RNA
Rfam family: Bacterial small subunit ribosomal RNA
Source: RNAcentral
AUGAACGCUGGCGGCGUGCCUAAUACAUGCAAGUCGAGCGAACAGACGAGUAGCUUGCUCCUCUGACGUUAGCGGCGUACGGGUGAUUAACACGUGGAUAACCUACCUAUAAGACUGGGAUAACUUCGGGAAACCGGAGCUAAUACCGGAUAAUAUAUUUAACCGCUUGGUUCAAUAGUUAAAUACGGUUUUUCUUUCACUUAUAGAUGGAUCCUCUCCGCAUUAGCUAGUUGGUAAGGUAACGGCUUACCAAGGCAACGAUGCGUAGCCGACCUGAGAGGGUGAUCGGACACACUGGAACUGAGACACGGUACAGACUACUACGGGAGGCAGCAGUAGGGAAUGUGCCGCAAUGGGCGAAAGCAUGACGGAGCAAAGCCGAGUGAGUGAAGAAGGUCUUCGGAUCGUAAAACUCUGUUAUUAGGGAAGAACAAAUGUGUAAGUAACUAUGCACGUAUUGACGGUAACUAAUCAGAAAGCCACGGCUAACUACGUG